AGGAUUUUUCUUGCUCGUGCUAGUGCACGAUGUGUGCACGACAUAGCGCGUAAUAAAGGAGGAAAGCCGAAGCAUGGGAAGAACCAUCAAGAGACCCUCCAUCUCUCCAUAAGAGAGUGAGUGUCUGCUCGAAUUGAGCUGCCGAUGUUUACUUCGUAGACAACAACAUGCGCCGAAGCAUUUUCCGAGCGAUCUGUCUUGAGCCGUGUGCUUCAGAUAGUCCCGAGACGUGGAUCGAUGCGGACGGUUGGCUUUCCGGGAAGGGAGUUUCUUUUGUAUCUUGGUUCCAGAAUACGCGUUCUAUUCAUACGGCGACGAUGCUGUGAGUUAUGCUGUUUGUUUUGUGGUAUGCAAUAUGUGUUUAUCGAAAGCCUCAUCUCUAUAGGGUGUUUUGUAUGGGAAAAUGUUGUUUUACGUACGUGAAAUAAUUAAGCAAAGAUAUGAAGAUUUGUGAAGUAAAAAUGUGAAAUGUGUACAGAAGCGAAGCAAAGAAUUGAUGCGUGAGCGAAGGUGAGAAAAAUGAAUCAAACAAAACAAGUGUAUCAAAAGGAAAUAAAAGUGCUUAAAUAAAAAAAAAGUUUCCAAAAUGAUAAAAGGCAAUGUAAUAAGAAGAAUUUAAAUCAAAUCGUUGGAGCAGUGGCGGGAAGACCGAGUGCAUCGUUUUUUCUCACCAUUCGCCUGGGCACGAUCAAUUGCAACUGCGUGAGAGGUCACGCCGUGAGUGAGUUGGAUGGAUGUUGGCAGCGUGAACCACUACUGCUGUGGUAUAUAUUUACGUGGUUAUCAGUCUUGCAGUUGGAAUUGCAUCAAAUUGGAUAAUAGCAGAUUGGCGGCAUAAAAUUGAAAGGAGGAAUACUGAUGCUGAUUUGUUGUAUGAAGCAAACGAAAGGAAAUGUUUACGUUUAAAAUGUGUAGUUCUGUAAUCAGUUUAGCUUUAUCAAUGGUUUAAAUUAAAACAAAUGUUUACGCAAUUUUUUUGCACAAAAUUGUUGGAGGUUAACUCCAUCGCACGACUUGCUGAACGUAUCCGUUGGUGGUACAUGAGUACCCAAUUACACACCCGCGCAUCGAUUGCCAGCGUCCGUUGAUGCGAUGCGUGGGGAUCAGAAGUGGAGGAAACGUGGCUGCUCUUAAGCCGAUUUAGUUAAAAGGAUUUGCAACGUUUAUUUGUGGUUAGAGUGCGGUGAAAAAGUGCUUAUUAAAAAAGAAGAGAAACCAAUAGCAGUAAGAAGACGUCGCCGAAUGGAAUUGUGUCUUACCAAAUGCGUAGUCGGUAAAGAAUGAUGAAUGGUGUGAAAGGUUCUAAGGAAUUGGCAGAAAUGUGGAUUGAAUCUACGUUUCCACAAAGCGCAGCAAUUCAGUUUAAUCGAGUGAUGCGUUAGCGUGAAGAGAUAAUUGCGUGCGAUAGUUUAAAUCGUUCAACGUUGAUAGACCAGGAAUAAACAAAUCAACAAGCAUUGCAAUUUGGAUUAAGACAGUGUCACUCUUGGAAUUGUGCAGAUGCUAAUGCAGAUGCCGAAAGGAUGAUCACCGGCUCGUAAAUCAGCGACGAAAUCACACAGGUAACCGUUGAACGAUACGACAGAUGACGCUAUUAAAAGACUGUAAAUCUAGUUUUACGUGGUGCUUCAAUCGUAAAUGGAAGCUAAAGUUUUUUUUUCUUGAAUUUCUAAUCCUCAUCUUCGCUGGUGGCAUCAUCUGUAGAGAUGGAAAAGGAAAAGUUGAAAGUGUUGAUAUGCAGAGAUGCAAAUUAUUUUGAAUAAUAUUCGUUAAAUAGAAUCGUGAUGGUGAACGUUCAUGACAAAGAUGCAUUUGUCAGUUCAACUGAAUGGUCUUACUAAAUACUUGCUGAUAGUCUACCGUUACUUGGUGGUAAAAAUACCUACCACGGAAACAGUCUGACCACAUCUAGUCGAUGUCAAAUACGUCGAAUACAAACCCUGAAGACAGCUAUCAGAUACAAAGUAUCAAUUCUGCACACAUAACCUGUUCUCAGGUCGUCAUUCUGAUGUGAGUUCAACCGGCAUCCAGCCUCUCACCAGGAAUCUUGAUUUCAUCGGCACGGCACUGAAUCGGAUGAUGACCACCGCGUGCGAUUGAACUCGGCAAUCAUCAUUUAAUUUCCAUGAAAUUUCGAUUCUGGUGAUAAUUUAUAGCGAUUAACGUUUUGGAAGUAAUUUGUGAGUCCCAACCCAAAA
Molecule: long non-coding RNA, 2198 nt
Organism: Aedes albopictus (Asian tiger mosquito)
Lineage: Eukaryota; Metazoa; Arthropoda; Insecta; Diptera; Culicidae
Exons: 3
Source: RefSeq, a predicted model, not a curated record